GGGGGUAACUAAGUGUUUUAGAUGCAAAUUCGUGGGAUUUUAUCACCCUAAACUUGAAGACUUGUUCCUUGCUGUUUUUAAGUGUUUUUGAGCAGUUUUGAUGUGUUUUAGUGUGUUUUGAAGUAAAAAUCCGAAAAUUACAUAAAAAUUUGAAAAAUUUGUUUUAAAAACCCAAAAAGAGUUGUUUUUGUGUGUUUGUUUGUGUCUUAGGGUACCUUCCAACACAAUGAUGAGGAUUCGGUUUGUAAUUACAUGGCUGUUAAAGAGAGUGAUUCACAUGGAUGAAAGUUUGAUUCACUCUUUGUUAUGCUUAGUUGUGGUUAUAACUUAUGAAUUCACAUGCAAUCAUAAAAGAAAAAAAUCAGUUUUUGUAACAUGCUUGAAGGAAGGAACUCAAACUAACGCUACAACCUUGUGAGACUUGAGCCUAAACGCUUAUUUGGAGAGUUAAAAUCUGUGCAUUCUUUGUUUUCUAAGUCGUUGCAUGAUCUCAUUAUUCCUUGAUUGGUUGCUACUUAGAAGGCGUUUCAUCAUUUAGUUCCAAAUGCUAGAACUCAUGCCCAUUUCAUUCAAAGCAUGUUAUUGAUUUGCAUAACACAUAUUCAAGAUGAAGUUGUGUAGUGACCACCACCUUAGCCAAAAAGCCAUGAAUCCCCUAUGUCAUUAUGUUUUGUAGGUUUUAACCCCGUUGAGCCUUGUUUAGCCUAUGUUGUUGUUAACCCACAUUAUCCUCACCUAGCCUAGUUUAGGACCAUCCAUACCCUUGUUCUUAAAGCAUAGUAAAGCAUGAUUCGAAUUGAAUUCCUUUUGAUCUAUGUUGGCAGAAACCAAGUGUGGGGGAAGUAUUUUUCAUGAGGAAUUGUGUGCCAUAGGCACGGCAAAGAAAAGAAAAAAAAAUUCGUGGAAAAAAGAAAAAAAUGAAGAAAAAAAGUGUGAAAAGUAUGAAAAAACAGUUUGAAAAAAAAAAGAGAAAAAGAGUUCCAAAGUAUUGUUUGUUGAAGUAAGGGUCCAAAACAAUGAAUUCGGCCCUAAGGAGUUGUUUAAGUCUUCCCCUUGUGUUUUAAAGUUAAUUUCUGCAAUCUAAGUGAAUUCUAAGUCUCAAUUUCAUUGCUUUGCUUACUAUUGCUUGAAGAACGUUUGUUUUCCCUAUCCUUUCCUUGUUAACCAACAACCUAAGCCCCAUUACAACCCUUAACUUCUACCUUGAGUGUUAUGUGUUUCAAUUUGUGGAGUUUGAAUUUGGUAUGAGCAUAUGGUGUCACUGGUUCUCGCAUCUAAGUAGUAGCAUUCCAUUCAUGAGAUCAUAUCUAAACAUGCUUCUUAACUCUAGAAAUUGCGUUCUUUGUGAAACAUAUAUGUGAGCAUUCGUUUUCAUAUCUACAUCAAUCUUCUCACAUAUGACUAGUGUAGGGUGUGGAGUUAGAAAAUCUGAGUGAAAAUAGAGUGUAUAUCUUGUAAGGAAUUGAGGGAAUUCUCUAAGGCAUGUUACUACAUUCAAAGCAUUGUUUUAAUUGAUUACUUGUGAACUAGUAAGUGGUGGCUUUAAUUAAGUAUGUGCUUGUGUAAAGAUGACUCAAAUCUGUGGGGAUAGCAAUCUUGAACAUGUCAUGUGCAUUGGAAAUCCCUGAGGCAAACGUUGGAAGGUUUAGGUUUGUUUUGGUUAGUUUGUUUCGUUUCGUUUUCUUUCUUUUGUUUGUUUUGCUCGAGGACUAGCAAAAGCUAAGUGUGGGGGAAUUUGAUAGGAGCAUAUUUAUGCGCCUUAGUUAGCUAGUUCUUAUGCAUCUUUGUUAUGUUUUCUUUGUUAAAGUAGUCUUUUAAGCUACUUUCAUGUGUUUUCAGGUUUAAAGGACAUAUUACAUGAAAUGAUGCAAUUUGGAGCUUUUGGAGCAAAAAGUGAGCUUGGAAUGAAAAGGACAUGCUUGGAACACAAGGUUGGGUUGAAAUUGAAGAGUUCGAGAUUUGAGGUUUCCUACUUGAAGUAGGAAAGCUAAACCUAAAAGUUUCCAUUUUGGGUUGAUCUUUCCUAAAUCGGAAUUGGCAACCAAAGUUUCUAAAGUUGGAAGUUUCUAUUCUUGGAGGUUUCCAAUUUCGAGAGUUUCUAUUCUCGGCUUUGGGCUUUUGGAUGACCCAUCUUUGCCUCUUGGACCUAUGCCGCACCUAACCCUAGUUUUUGGUGGAUUUCCUAACCCUAGCCGCACCUAAACCCUAGCCCAUUUGUCUAAUCUGAUUUCUUUAGGGUUUGGCUGCCUAUAUAUAUAUGUUUUACCUCCCUUGGCCGAAUCACAACCCUCUCCAUAAUCCAGAAAUUAAUCCUUCACGCCAGAAACCAUUCCCCAUCUUCAACAGCACCUAUCCUUCAUCAUUCACCAUAAUUUCUGACCCAAAACCACCCUAGCCGUCCCAUACACCUAUCCUACACACUUUUCCACCAUUCUACACCAUCCAUAACCCCCAAAAACCAUCACAAACCCCUGUGCCGCAACCAAGGAAGAGGAGGAAGGUUCUUAGAUGUUCCUGCUGUGCAAUUUAGAUUGCUGGAAUUUUUAGGUGUGAUCUUUCUUAUGUUUCAAUGUUUCAAUUCAAUAAACUUUGUGUUGUGAGUAUGAGGAACUAAACCCCCUUAGUUGGGGGGUAAUUCGAAACCAUGUACAUGCUUGCAAUUUGAUUCGAUUACAUUCAGUUGUUAUUUCAUAAGUUGUGGAUUCAAUUCGUUCAUCUAUUUGAUUGAUACUUAUUUAUGUAUGUUGAUUGAGAGUGCACGCUUAGUUUUCAUGCAUGAAUAUGAUGCUAGAUUAUGAGGGAGUUUCACCUAAUAGUUACAAUCUUAUAAUCACAAGUAGUGAAGAUUGCUUGUAAACGAUCGCGUUGAAUGAAUUCUUAGCAUAAGUUUCAUGCAAUUCAUAGUAACAAAUGCUUCGUCAAUGCUUAUGUUUUUCAUAGAACGUAAUGAUUCUUGCUUGUAUCUCUAUUAUGCAAUUCAUGUAGGGAACUUGUAGGGAAUGUUUUGGGUUGUCGUAUGCAAUCAUCCAACUUAAUAACUUGUGGAAAAACUGAGGGUUAAUUAGUGCAAUUCACGGCUAAUCUGGGGCGUUGAGUAUUUAUAAUUUAUUGGAAGAACAACUGAAAAUCGUUUUGUUUGCAAGUGUGACAUGUGUGGAGAAGAACCUCCUAACUAGCCUUUUAUCCAUCUAUUUCACCAAAAUCGUUUUUACAAUCUGUGCUAAUUAAAGUUUCUGUUUUGUGUUAAAUUUUCGUCCAAAACAAAUCCCCCUCUCAUUUGAAGUCUUAGAUUAGUUAGAAAGUAUUUUGAUUUGUGUUUCUAAGUAUUUUGAUUCAAGUUUUCAUCAAAUUUCGUCCAAAUUAGUGUAGGUGCUCAAAACUGCCCAGAAAGUGGUUUUUAGGCAGUUUUGAGCCUUCUAGUUGCUGUUUUGAGUUUUAGGUUUGUUUAAGCGUUUUAACCUUUAGUUUUGCAUUCUUUGAGUCUAGUUUAGUGUUUUAAACUUUGUUUUUGAGUUUUUAAGUCAGUUUCCAAGUGUUUAGCAAUCCCUCCUAAUCCCCGGUCUAGAACGAUCCCUACUUACAUCUCUACUACAAUUUGACAAAAGAGGGUUUAAUUUGUGUGCUUAAUAUAUUUCGCAUCAAUAUGCUUCCUUCUAUUCACUGCCUUAUAACCAUCUGCAACUUUCAUCAUCAAUAGGAAUGUUUUGCAUUUGGAUGGAGGAAUUUGAUACAAUGGAUUCGAGUUUGACAAGAGGGCUAAAUUUGGUAUAUAAACUAGAAAACGCUAUUUCGAACGUAUUUGAAAUAAUUAUACGCGAGGAAUAUUAUUUGAAAUCCAUUUGUUUUCUUUCUUUUCCUUAUUUAAAUCUUGGCAAUACACGAACGAAAAUGGUUCAAACCUACAACUUGAGUCACAAAGUUCCUGCCAAAGUAUAUACGAUAAACACAGUAGUGGAUUGGUCUGGUGGUUAGGGUCUUCUCUUCGACCCACUAUGUCCAAGAAGCAAUCUCUCCCCCUCUCCUAGUGUAGAUUAGUGUAGAGUACGGCUUAUAAUAAAAAAUAAAACAAAACAAAAAGCGUAGAUGUGAUAAACAAAGAACCAAUUCUUAUUGAGACAUAGAACCACUUCAUAUAAUAACAGCCCCAAAACUAUUCAUGUCUCUAAUUUAAAGCUUAACAACCACCAAACAAAACAUCACUUGUAAACUCUCAAGGGAAAAGACUCAGCAUCCCCAAUAAAAAGUCCUAGACAAGAAAACAACCUUAAUAUCAACUGACUAAGAUGAACUCAUCAUCAUCGAGAACUUGGACAUCAUUUUCUCCGACAAAAUUCUCCCCCUAAUUUGCUUAACCAAAUUCACAAACUCUACCCUAUUCGCAAGAGGACGAGGUACAUAUGGCAGCCGGAAGACCAGCCUCACAACCCCAAGUUAGGCAAGUGCUGUGUGUUAAGCCGAUGAGAUUUGGCUCUUGGUAAAGCAACUUAAUCAAAGGCAUCCAUCUUUGCAUUUAGGGACAGUGUUUUCCCUCGAACAUGAGUUGUCGCAUUAAACUUGGGAUGCAAUAACCUCAACUUUUUGGGCUAUGUUGCAAAACUUAAACUUUUGAGCUCAUUUUGUAAAAACACAAAAGUCCACUACUUCAUGUAAUUACAACUAGAACCCAAAAAUUUCAACAAAUUUAAAAACUCCAUUAAAGGAACAAAACAAUUUGUCCUUUAAUGAUUUUGGGCCUUUACGUAAAUACGUAAACUUUUGGGUCAAACUACAAAAUACACAAAAGUACCAAAACUUUAUGUAAUUGCAUAAAAGCCCAAAAAACACCCCACUUGUAGGGUGGCCGGUUUUGGAGAGAAGGGAGUGAUGUGUGUGUUGAUUUGUAGUUUUAGACAUAAAGUCAUGCAAGUGGUGCAUGACAUAAAUGUCAUGCAAGUGGUGUGUGUGAAAGGGAAUUAAUCCUUACACACCCACCAAUAUUUCCUUCACCUUUCAAAAUAAAUAUCUAACACAUUUAAAUAUUUGAAAAGCACAAAACAAAAAACUUUAUGAAAUAAAUCAAAACACCAAACUUUUUGAUCUUGGCUAAAAUAUCAAGAACAAUGAAGAACAUUCAUGAAAAACUCAAAAAAUCUCCAUGAACAUUUUUCACCCAAAGACAUCCCAAAACCACUCAAACUUAAGGGAAAUAACAUAUAACCAAACUAGGGUACAUAGGGGUUCCAAAAGUUACUUGAAAACACUUUUAACAAGUCAAACAAGAACCCAAAAUCCACCCUUUGGAUUUGGCCGAAUUUUCCCAAAAACAUGGCACCAAAUUUUAGCUCCAAUAUUCAUGCUCAUAUGAACUACAUCUACAACAUUUGAGAUGGCAAAUUUUGUAACAAAAUUUACAUUCAAAGAAGCAAGAAUAAAGCUUGUAACAUAUUACAACAUUUAAAUCAAAGACUAUGAACUACAAAACCCAAAAGGAUUCACCAACUACUAGACCUAGGCUCUGAUACCACUUGAAGGAAAUUUUGUGAAAAACAUGUUCAUUUAAGCAACAUCUAUAGCAUGCAAUUAACAAAUUAAAGGUGGAAUCAUGCUUGUAUGCACUUAAAAACAAAACAUUAACCAUGAAAUUCAAAGCCUAGUAGUUGGGUGAACCAAGACUCAACUCAAAACAAAGUGAGUUGAGAAAUUAUACCGUUGUUGAUUCCUCUUUGCAUAAGCAAAGGAUAAUCACCCAAGAGAUAAGGCCUUCAUUCAUUGCUUCUUAGAUCCAUGGAUUUGGAUGGAAGAAUAGGUUUCUCCAAGUUCCCAAAAUUGAGAACCUCUAAGUCUCCACACCAAGGUAAGAUGUGAAGAAGAGAUGAGUGACCUUGGAGGAGAAAGAUUACUAGCUAAUCCCUCCAAGGGUGGCCGGCCUCUUUAAAGAGAAAGGAGAGCUUUGUGUUCUCAUCCUUUCCCCAAAAGAAAACCCUAAAUGAAUUUUGGCUAUAAAGUCAUAUUUAUACCUACAUUCAUUUGAGUGGCAAACUUGUAAUUAAGUCCAAAACCCACUCCUUUAACUAAAUGGCCGGCCAUAGGGAUUCAUUGGGCUUUUCAGGCCUUUGUGAAUUAUUUGUCAUUAAGUUGUCAUACAACUUAGGUCAAUGGGCUUGACGUUCGAAGCCCAUUGGGCCUUGAGGCCCAAAACUAACCCAUGGUCUUUUAACGAACUUUAUUCGUUUGAUUAAUUAACAUAUUAAUUAAUCCUUGCCAUAAAUAAUUAAACCAUUUAAUUAUCCUUACUCAUCUCCGUUGUUUCUUCAAUCUCUGCCUCACACGGUGUACGAUCCAUUAGGUUCCUUUUAGCUAGGCAGUGGGUGAUUAGAACUUUUUCAAAUCGAUUGUGAAUUGAAACUUACUUUCAAUUCUCCCUUUAGUGAUUAUACACGUUUGGGGCUUCCACAAACCAUGAGUGACACCUAGCAGUAUGUCAUGGUUACCCAAGCUAAUCAGAAGAGGUGGAGAACCUAUUCAGUUUAGGAUUACAAUGCAAUACGGUCUUUCUCUAAUACAAUACUCUUGACCACAUUGUUUGGUUUAAUAGUUUAUUCAUGUCUACUAUCCAAUGUGAUUCAUUUACUUAUAUGAUUACCUUGAAUGUGAUUUGGAAUGACUUCCUAAAUCUCAUUCAUACUCUGGCCAGAGAUUCUUAAUCAUAUCAUAGAGUAUUCUCCCUCAAACAGUUUGAAGGUUAGAGAUCCCUUGUUGCGCAUUCACUUGCCUCCAUGGCUAAGUGGCUUAACCCCAACUAUGCCGUGGACACCCUCGAAUGGAGUGACUUUGACAUAAUCAAAGAUCAAGGACUUAACCACAACACAACUAUGAUGCCUCAGGUCAAAGGACUACUUUGCAUUAUCCCAACCAUGAGUUCUCAUGUGACAUGAGUAUGAGAACUCCUUGUUGAUCGUGUUCAGUGGACUCAUUCGUUAUUGAGCACCUACAUGCUUGUCUUGAUGUCAAUCACACCAAUGACUCGAGACCAGUCACUCUCCAUGAGAGAAGACACAACACGUACUGAUCUUAACGGACUGUCAAUGCCCAAUUGGCAAUCCUAUGAUCAGGAACGUUUAGGAUAUGUAUAAGAAAGAGAAUGGUCUCAUAAAUCUAACUUGUUUAAAUUACAUUCUCCUAAUUACAUAUUCCUUGGACUUACCGUUUAAGCAUAUAACAUUUAUAUGAGACGGCUUAAACAAUAAUCUUUGCCCUUGAUAUUAAACUAGAUUAGUUUAACAUGUGAAAUGUCCGUAAAGUAUCAUCAUAUGAUUGGUUUUAGGGCACAUUUCCAACAGUUACUACAUUCAAAACAUCGUUUUAAUUGGUUAAUUGUGAACUAGUAAGUGGUGACUGUGAUUAAGUAUGUGCUCAAGUGUAAAGAUGACCAAAAUCUAUGGGAAUGAUGAUUUUUAACAUGUCAUGUUUCAUUAAAAAUCCCUGAGGCAAAUGUUGGAAGGUCUAGGUUGUGUUUUGUUUGUUUCGUUUGUUUGUUUUGCUCGAGGACUAGCAAAAGCUAAGUGUGGGGGAAUUUGAUAGGAGCAUAUUUAUGCGACUGAGUUAGCUUGUUCUCAUGCAUUUAUGUUUUUAUUUCUUAGUUAAUUAUGUAUUUUAAGCUAUAUUCAUGUGUUUGUAGGUCCAUAGGCCUUAUGAAGCAAUAAGAUGCAUUUUGGUGCAUUUUGGAGCACUUUUGGGCUUGGAAUGAAUAGCACAUGCAUGGAGCAAGGUGGAUGGACGAAAUUGAAGACUAAAAAGGCUAGGAAUGUGUUAAAGAGAAAGAAGAAUUAAUGUAAAAAGGACAAAGAGCUUAGCCACAAAGGGGUGUCACUCCACCAUUCACCUUUCCAUCAUUGUCGUGCACCACCAUUGCACUCCCUUUGGAUUCCUAUGCCGUGCAUCAUCAUCCAUGUUCCCUCCAUUGACUCAUGUGUUGCAUCAUUCCACCUCCCUUUCCUUUCUCUACCAUGUGCACAAUCAUUCAUGUUCCCUAACUGCAACAUCACUCCAUUUUACCCCCAUGCUUUACAUUAUCACUUCACUUUCACCUUUGAAUCAUUUCAAACACCACUCAUUGCACUUAAUUGCUACACCAUUCCUUGUUCCCUCCAUCAUUUUAGAUUUCAUGCAUCAUUAGAUUGAAUCAUUGCACUCAAUUGCUACACCAUUCCUUGUUCCCUCCAUCAUUUCAUAUUUCAUGCAUCAUUGCACUCAAUCGCUACACCACUCCAUGUUCCCCUCCAUUGCCCUGCACUUCCUCUAUAAAAGGAAGUGUGUGUAACAUAAAUUUAGUUCAUACUUGGUUAGAUCAUUCACUCCCAUUUCAACACAACCUUCAUCCAAACACAUCCAUUCAUCUUCACAUCCAUUCCUCCAUACAAACAAACCUUCAAACACUCACCAACACCUUGUGUCGUAGCAAAGGAAGGGAAGGAAAGUGCUUGGACGUGCUUGAUGUCCAACUUGGAUCGUUGGAGCAUUUAGGUGUUUUCUUUCUUUUGUUUCUAAUGUUUAAAUUCAUUUCCUUUCGUUUUGUUGUAAAUAUGAGUGGCUAAACCCCUCUUGGCUAGGGGUGAUUUCAAAGCCAUGAUUAUGUGUGCAAUAUAAUUUGAUAAAUUCCAGUUAUGAACUCUUGAAUCGUGAAUGCAAUUGGCUUAACUAUUUGAUUGAUAACUUAUUUGUAUUUGUUAAUUAAGGGUCGACACUUAAUUGGCAUGCAUAAAUCCGUUGCUAGAAUAUAAGGAAGUUUCACAUAAUCGUUACAAACUUAUAUUCACAUGUAGUGAAGGUCGCUUAUAAACGAUCGCGUUAAGUUCAAUUCCUAGCAUGAGUGACAUGAUGUCAUAGUUGCAAGUGCUUUGUCAAUGCUUAUGAUUUUCAUUAAACGUAAUGAUCUUUUAUUGUAUCUCUAUUAUGAUGUCAUGUAGGGAACUUUAGAGAAUGUUUUGGGUUGUCGAAUGAUGUCAUCCAAUCCAAUAAAACAAGGAAAAUCUGAGAGUUAACUAGUGAUGUCACGGUUAAUUUGGAGCAUUGUCAUUCAUAAUUGAAUGAAGUAGUAACUGGAAAUCGAGUUAUUUGCAUACAUGUCAUGUGCGGAGAAAAAGCCUCUGGCUAUCCCAUCCAUCAUCUUAUUUCUCAAAUUUGUUUUACAAUCUGUCUAGUUUUUCAUACUUGUUUGUUUGUUUCAACUUCGUCCAAAACUCAAUCUCCCUUUACUUUAGUGUGUCUAAUUAGUUAGAAUAUGUUUUAAUUUGUGUUUUUAAGUGUUUUGAUUCAAGUAAAAGUCAAUUUUCAUCCAAAGUCAUUCCUAUUGUCUAGUUUAAGUUUAUUUAGUUGUUCUAAGCUGUUUUGAGUAUUUUAAGUUUGCUUUGAGUCUUGUGAAUCUUGUUAAGUAUUUUUUAUGUUUAGUUUUAUGUUUUUGAGUCAGUUUAGAGGUUAUUAGCAAGCCCUCAUAGUCCCCGGUCCAGAACAAUCCCUACUUAUACUUAUACUACAGUUGUCAAAAGAGGGUUAAAUUUGUGUGUUAAGAUAAUUUUCGCAUCAGUGGUCAAAUCUAAGCGUCGCCAAACACAUCUGGAAGAUCUUCACCGAAUUUUUCUUUGCAUACACCAAUAUAAGCUUAAAAUGAAUCUUGCUAAGUGUGCUUUUGGUGUAUCUACGGGAAAUUCUUUGGGUUUCCUGGUGCAUCACCAAGGCAUAGAGGUUGAUAAAAACAAGGCUCGUGUAAUUAUUGACGCUCCACCCCCAACGACAAAGAAACAGUUGCAAUCAUUGCUAGGAAAAAUCAACUUCCUUCGCCGAUCUAUUUUAAUUCAGCGGGGAAGAUGAAAGAUUUCUCCACACUCCUAAAGCUGAAGGACUUCGACCGUUUUGAAUGGUGAAACAAAAAUGAAGACGUUUUUAUCCAAAUUAAGGUAUCUCUUACUAGUCCUCCAGUACUUAUGCCCCCACUAUGUGGAAAACCACUCUAACUUUAUAUCUCGACUGCUGAAGAAUCCAUUGGUUAUCUUUUGGCAUAAGACAAUGACAAUAACCAAGAACAGGCCAUUUUUUACCUCAGUCGAGAUAAAUUAUUCAGCCAUUGAAAAGCUUUGCCUUGCUCUAAUUUUUGCCUUGUCUAAACUUAGACAUUAUAUGCUUCCCUUGGUCACUCAGGUCAUUGCUCAAACAGACGUCAUUUGUUAUAUGCUUACUCAGCCAAUUUUUAAAGGCCGAAUCGGAAAAUGGACAAUGGCCUUAUCUGAGUUUUGUUUACAAUAUAUACCUCAAAAGACUGUCAAAGCAAAAGCUCUAGUCGACUUCCUCGCCCAACAUCUUUCUCCGUACAGAUUUAGGGGCUACUAUGUCGAAAUCGGCAUGGAGCCGUAUAAUACCUUCAGUUUGGAUAAACAACAUUGUAUUGGCAACUGGCAACAUCUUCAGUUUAUAUAAACAAGACUGGAGCAGUAGAAUUAGUUGACUGAGGAGUAUCUUCAGUUUGGAUAAAUAGCAUUGCUUCGCGACCGACUAGUUAUCUAUCCAAGUCUCAGUCAGCAAGGAUUUCCUAAGUCCUUGUUGAAAAAGGUUAUCUUAUUAGCCUUCUCGACAAAGUAAAGUGUUACCAGGUUAGACGUUCAACACAUAGAAAGCCAAACGUAUUUUAUGAUUGGAUAUUCAUAAGUACAUUUUAGAGUUCGGCACUCAGACGAUCGAACAAAAUUUACAAUCAAGACACACAUCUUUUUUAUGUACUUGUGUCCCUACAAUUUGAUACUAAUUCGGAUCACUUAUAUUCUCACGAAUAUAAUUACUGUUGCCAACCCGGUGCCAACGAUUCGUGAACUUCAUAGGCUCUAGAACUCAAAGGCCAGGACGUGUUUCUUCCUCGGUCGCAAUCACAAGAUUCAGAUGUCAUUAGCGCGCCCAAUGCCACAUCAACACUCAUUCACUCCCCAACCAAGCUCGAUCGACGAGUUGGCACGCCCCGCAUUUAACCAAAGGACGUGGUUAGCUCAUUAGUUACUCAACCUACGCGCCACGUAGGCUAAGUAGGUUUUUGGGACAACAAGCAUAUAUUAUGGAAAAAUGUAAUGUUAAGGAGACUAAAUUUGUAGAUAAAAUUAUGAAAACAAAAUGACAUGUAAGUUGGUAAUUAGAUUAUUACUUAAAUGUGAUAAACGUGUUCCUAUUGAUGACACAUCAUUUAAUUUGCAAAUUUAGUCUUUCUAUUAUUACUCUAUGGAAAUGCUAAGAAGACUCUCUUAAAAGUGAAACUCUUCAUGGACUCUCUUAAAAGUGAGACUCUUCAUGGACUCUCCAUCACCUAAUGUUUUUAACAUAAUUCUUAUACCAAUAUUAUAAAAUAUUAUACCAAAAACAUGAUAUUGUGAAGAGCAUUUGAGAAGUGUCUCACUUUGAAUCUCAUACGCACUUGAAGCUGGCAGCACUACGUCUGCAUCUGCAUGUGAGUCUUUGAGCCCGUAAUUUACUGGAAGAAGUAGGGGUGGAAUUGUCAUUCAGAAAGGUGUCAUGGGAAACUGGAGUGGGGCCAAUCGACGGCAAUUGAGGUCAGAUAGGCCUGGCAAACGAGUCGUGUUAGUCGUGUUUGUGUCGUUUUCGUGUAACACCUAUUAUCUUAACGGGUCGUGUCGUGUCACACCUAUUAUCUUAACGGGUCCUUAACAGGUCAGGUCACUUUACCCAACGGGUAAAGUGACCCGACCCAUUAUGACCCGUUAAGAAAAAAAAAAUUUCUUAAAUUUGCACAUACCACACAUUGUCACAUAAAUAUUACUUCAAAACAUUAAAACACAUUUUUGUCCUUUAAGUACUUCAUCUACACUCGAAAAUAAGAGCCUUAUAAAAAAAACAUCCAUACACUACUAAUCUAUUACAAAUAUUAAAUGUGCAAGGAUAUGCAAAAUGAAAGCGUUUUUGUUUUCAAGGUUGUGAAGCCUUUCUCAAAAGUUUAAACCUUGCCAAUGGAACUCAAAGCUUAAUGAAAGUGACCCACCGGUGUGUCUAUUCGUACUUUCAUUAAGUAUAACAUAAGAUUUUGUGGUAUCCACUAGUGUAAAUAUUUUAAAUUGAAGAUCGAAUUCAUUCAUUGUAUUCAUAUAGGGUCAAGGAGUGUAGUUGUAAAAAUCAUCGAAAUCGGAGUUAAAAUAACCGUUAAAUUGUGAUUUUUCGUUUAUAACCGUCGAAAAGUUUUGUCCUGUUACUUAAUCUUUAAAUGUUUGUUUUUUGCAAUUUUUAGCGUAUGCGAUCUCGAAGCAUAUACAAACAAGUAUGACGGUUAGAUCAUUGAAACUAGUUUCGUAUAAUGCGUAUCCCAUCAAAACAAUAGAUUCACUAACACUUUAGAGUUUAUUCUUACUUUCAUUAAGUAAAACAUAAGAUUUUGUGGUAUCCACUAGUGUAAAUAUUUUAAAUUGAAGAUCGAAUUCAUUCAUUGUAUUCAUAUAGGAUCAAGGAGUGUAGUUGUAAAAAAUCAUCAAAAUCGAAGUUAAAAUAACCGUUAUUGUGAUUUUUUGUUUAUAACCGUCGAAAAGUUUUGUCUCAUUACUUGAUCUCUGAAUGUUUGUUUUUUGCAAUUUUUGGCAUAUGCAAUCUCGAAGUAUAUACAAACAUGUUUGACGGUUGGAUUGUUAAAACUAGUUUCGUAGAAUACGUAUCUCAUCAAAACAAUAGAUUCACUAACACUUAAAGAGUUUAUUCAUACUUUCAUCAAGUAUAACAUAAGAUUUUGUGGUAUCCACUAGUAUAAAUAUUUUAAAUUGAAGAUCGAAUUCAUUCACUGUAUUUAUAUAGGGUCAAGGAGUGUAGCUGUAAAAAAUCAUCAAAAUUGGAGUUAAAAUAACCGUUAAAUCAUUCGUUUAUAACCGUCGAAACGUUUUGUCCCAUUACUUGAUCUCUGAAUGUUUGUUUUUUGCAAUUUUUGGCAGAUGUGAUCUUGAAGCAUAUACAAACAAGUUUGACUGUUGCAUCGUUGAAACUAGUUUCGCAAAAUGCGUAUCUCAUCAAAACAAUAUAUUCACUAACACUUAAGAGUUUAUUAAUAUGGACAUUGGGAAUAGUAUAUGGAAGCACAUAAAGUAAAUAACUUCAAAACUCUUAUGUGUGGGAAGUUUUCUAGAAGUGUCAUUAGAUAUGUUAGAGCCUCGGGCCUAAGUAUCAGGACAUGAGUAUGUGCGGACUUUAAGCCUAUUCCAAAACUUAAGGAGGACAUACCCAAACAAGUGUAAAGUCCCAGCCGAGGUUGGAGGGUCUAUUCGUAGGUUCAUACAACCCAGCCAAUACUAAGAGUGUGAUUCGGUAGGAUCCAAUCGAAGCUGGACAUCCUGGUUUAGUGCAUCUCUUUCGAAGCAUAGCAUGAAUUUCUGUAGAUCCCAGUCGAAGCUGGGUGAGUCUCUACGAUAGACUCUAGCUGAAUCUGGGUCUUUAUGAUCCGGUAUCACCCAUAUGAAUCUGUGUGUUUGUGUUAGUAUUUGAACUUUGGACUUAAAGGAAUGGAAGCCCAAAAGAGCUAAAGUGAAGAAACUCGCCCGAGGCCCAGCACCAAGCCUAGCCAUUCAUCUCAAGAUAAUAUGGCGACUCCUUAUUAAUGAAAGGGUUUAUGCUUACAAGGGAAGUGACAACCGAUGGAAAUCAGCCUACUCUCAACCCAACAGCACUUUCUAAUGGCAAAACAUGUAAAAAAGAUGAUGACUCACUGAAGUGCUUUCGAGCAGCCAAGAUAAAAUGUCUAUAAAAGGAUGAAGAGGCCCUAGAGACAAGACACUCAACCAAUCAAUCAAACAAACAUACAAACUCUGGUCUCAAGCCAGAUUUGCGUCUAAAAGCUGUAAACAGCCUAGAUCUCAAUCCUUUUCAAGAUAACUCCUUACAAAGCCAUCUUUUGUCUAGUUUAAAGCUCUGUGAUCACCCCUAAUGGCGUAGUAUCGAUUCUCUCAUGCAAACUUGUUUACCAUCCAUCCCUUUUAAACACAACCCUCUGUAAUUACAAAGAAAAGAGACUGUAAGACGUUCGACCUUGCCCGACAAGGUGAAAUCUUGCCCGACUCUCUUUGUUUCGUCUUUCAAUUAGUAGAUCUGGUAUUAUGAUGUACUCUUUAGUAUAUAUUCAAGUUAUUUCUAGUUAUUUGGUGAUCAAAAGUUCCAUUGGUCCUCAAAUCUGGUUCACUUAGUGGUUUUACUAUCAUAAAAGCCAAAAUAGGGAUCAAACUGAUGACUUAGUCAGAUUUGGAUAUCCACCCUUUAAAGCAUACAAGAUAAUGAACUAAAAGUCCUUGAUCUCAAGGCACAGAAAAGAACUUAAUGUAGACAUAGCUCAUUUACGACAAUCCUUUGAUAACAAGAAGUCAAAAUAACUUGUGGUGCAAGUAAUCGAGUUAAACACACUUGUUCUACAUCUGCCAUACUGAGAUGGUAGUGGCACGCCUAAGCACUUAGUUAGUGUUGAUUACAAGCCUUAAGGCCUACACCUAAGGUCCAGUAAAGGCACCUUUCAGAACUAACUCUGUUCUUCUCUUGUAGCUUCUCAACAAGCAGAAGCCCGAUAAUCAACCAAAGUGCCAACUCAUCGAGGAGUUGUGUGCUCGUGCCAGAGAUCCUCCCUAGCGAAAUUCCUGCCCGAACAUAGUUUUGGCACGCUCGGUGGGAUCACAAGUCUUGUAUGUCAAGAAAAUGAAGGAAAAAACAAACCUUCAGGUGGAAAACAAAGCAAAAACCACCCAAGUGUUUACCAACGUAAAAAAUGACGGAUCAUCUAGAGAAUAUUUCCCCUCACAAGGACCAACUACUCUGAAAAAUCCGACUUCGUUUGAGAAAUCAAGAGGAAUGGUGACCAACGAAGAUUUGCAGGCCAUGGAUAAAAGUACUAAGAAGCAUGGAGAAAAUCUCUCUAGACAUUAGAGGGGAAGUAAGCAGACUCUGUUCUGUAACAGGAAAUCUAUAAAGAAGGCUAGAUCUGGAGUACUAUACCCUAGAAAAUUGUACUAGAGAGAUGAUGAGUGAAGCAAGUCCUGUGAUUGAACCAGUUAUUCCUCUGUUUCCUAUACUUGAGGAAAAAGGGGAAUAAAGGAAAAAACAAGGAAGAAUUUGGAGCCAGUGAGCCAGUGUUGGAAGAGAUCCUAGAAGCGGAGUUGCCUGAGCCCUUACUAUUUCCACUUAAUAGUAGAGGCCAAUGCUGGCAAGAUAAAAAGAAGUAUGGGAUGCCCCAGUUGACCGGGGAAUCCAGUGGAAAAGGCGGGCUCUACUAAGCCAGACAAACCUCUUCGUUCUAAGCCUUCACCAUUGGUCAGUAAAGGAGGGGAUGCUAAGUGGAGAAAGCCCGAACCGAGAAAGGAGAUUAACUUGGGCAACGAUUGUAGCCCGAAGUGGGAACUUCCUUAUACCUCGCCUAAUAAUACAGCCAAUUACCCACUCAGAGAUGAGUUGGAUGAGUUGAGAAGGAUGGUGGUAAGAAAUGCUCAGCCACAAGCUCACCUGCUGUUUAGGGUCACCUAUCAGAAGCCCUACCCGGAGUUCGUUAAUGAGCAGAAUCCAUUUCCUCUUAACUUCAAAAUGCCCGCAUUCCCAACAUUCAACAGAGAAGAUAAUAAUGUGUCCUCUAGUGAUCACAUCUUCAAAUUCUCCAACCAAUGUGUAGCAUUUAAAGAUAACCCUAACUACAAGUUGAGACUGUUUGAAAACUCCUUGAUGGGCUUAACAUCUCAAUGGUACUUGAUAGGAGCAUAUUUAUGCGCCUUAGUUAGCUAGUUCUUAUGCAUCUUUGUUAUGUUUUCUUCGUUAAAGUAGUCUUUUAAGCUACUUUCAUGUGUUUUCAGGUUUAAAGGACAUAUUACAUGAAAUGAUGCAAGUUGGAGCUUUUGGAGCAAAAUGUGAGCUUGAAUUGAAAAGGACAUGCUUGGAACACAAGGAUGGGAUGGAAUUGAAGAGUUGAAGAUUUGAGGUUUCCUACUUGAAGUAGGAAAGCUAAGCCUAAAAGUUUCCAUUUUGGGUUGAUCUUUCCUAAAUCGGAAUUGGCAACCAAAGUUUCUAAAGUUGGAAGUUUCUAUUCUUGGAGGUUUCCAUUUUCGUGAGUUUCUAUUCUCGGCUUUGGGCUUUUGGAUGACCCAUCCUCACUUCUUGGACCUAUGCCGCACCUUAACCCUAAUCCUAGCCCAUUUAAUCAGCCACACCCUAGGGCCUAAUCAUUUAAAUUCUGCCAAGUUAAACCCUAAUCUAUCUACCCUAAGCCCAAGCCGCACCCUAGGCCUUUUCCCAUGCAAAAAUCUGAUUGUAAACCCUAAUUCCUUGUGGAUUUUCUAACCCUAGCCGCACCUAAACCCUAGCCCAUUGUCUAACCUGAUUUCUUUAGGGUUUUAGGUGCCUAUAUAUAUGUGUUUUACAUCCUUUGGCCGAACAUCACCCUCUCCAUUUCAGAAAUUCGUCCAGCCACUUCCCACUCUGUGCCGCAGCCAUUCUACAACUCCAGCCACCAUUCUACACUUCCAUACACCAUUCUACACCUCCAUACACCACCCAUACCCCUUGCCGCACCACCAUACCAUCCUAACUCCCUUCUAAAACCAAAAUCACAUCCAAAAACACCCUAAACCCUCUCUGCCGCAGCAAGGAGAAGAAGAAAGAGGAGCUUGAAGUCAGAAAUUCAAAGUGGAAUUCGUGGGCGUUUUAGGUGUAAUCUUUCUUAUGUCUUCGAUGUUUCAAUUCAAUAAACUUUGUGUUGUGAGUAUGAGGAACUAAACCCCCUUGGUUGGGGGGUAAUUCGAAACCAUGUACAUGCUUGCAAUUUGAUUCGAUUACAUUCAGUUGUUAUUUCAUAAGUUGUGGAUUCAAUUCGUUCAUCUAUUUGAUUGAUAACUUAUUUGUGUAUGUUGAUUGAGAGUGCACGCUUAGUUUUCAUGCAUGAAUAUGAUGCUAGAUUAUGAGGGAGUUUCACCUAAUAGUUACAAUCUUAUAAUCACAAGUAGUGAAGAUCGCUUGAAAACGAUCGCGUUGAAUGAAUUCUUAGCAUAAGUUUCAUGCAAUUCAUAGUAACAAAAUGCUUCGUCAAUGCUUAUGUUUUUCAUAGAACGUAAUGAUUCUUGCUUGUAUCUCUAUUAUGCAAUUCAUGUAGGGAACUUGUAGGGAAUGUUUUGGGUUUGUCGUAUGCAAUCAUCCAACUUAAUAACUUGUGGAAAAACUGAGGGUUAAUUAGUGCAAUUCACGGUUAAUUUUGGGGCGUUGAGUAUUCAUAAUUUAUUGGAAGAACAACUGAAAAUCGUUUUGUUUGCAAGUGUGACAUGUGUGGAGAAGAACCUCCUAACUAGCCUUUUAUCCAUCUAUUUCACCAAAAUCGUUUUUACAAUCUGUGCUUAGUUAAAGUUUCUGUUUUGUGUUUCAAAUUUUCGUCCAAAACAAAUCCCCCUUUAUUUUGAAGUCUUAGAUUAGUUAGAAAGUGUUUUGAUUUGUGUUUCUAAGUAUUUUGAUUCAAGUUUUCAUCAAAUUUCGUCCAAAUUAGUGUAGGUGCUCAAAACUGCCCAGAAAGUGGUUUUUAAGGCAGUUUUGAGCCUUCUAGUUGCUGUUUUGGUUUUUAGGUUUGUUUAAGUGUUUUAACUUUUAGUUUUGCAUUCUUUGAGUCUAGUUUAGUGUUUUAAACUUUGUUUUUGAGUUUUAAGUCAGUUUUCCAAGUGUUUAGCAAUCCCUCCUAAUCCCCGGUCUAGAACGAUCCCUACUUACAUCUUUACUACAAUUUGACAAAAAGAGGGUUUAAUUUGUGUGCUUAUCUAUUUCGCAUCAAAUUUUUGGCGCCGUUGCCGGGGAUUAGCAAUUUUGCUAAUCCCUUGGAUUGUUUUUGUUUCUUUUAUUUCACUUUGUUUCUGACUUUGUUUAAGUUUCUGACCUAAUUUUGUUUCUUGUUUCUUAGGUACUAAUGUAUGACUAGAAGCUCUCAACCGAUUCGUACAAACAUCUUGGAUUUUGACGACGAUUUUGAGAGGAAGUUAAGAAGAGCUAGAAACCAGCAAGAGCAUCAUCCACCCAGUUCCGAAUCUGACCUUGAAGAAAACGUACAAGAAGAGGAGGAGGAAGCCACGGCAGGGAUAUUUGAAGAAGUCCAAGGCAUGGCCAUGGACAAUCGUACACUCAAGGAGCUUUCCGCCUCGGGUUUGGAUAAUGCCGCACCCUUGUGCAUUCAAUACCCCAUGGCUGCCCAAGGUAAGACAGAUGAGUUUGAAUUAAAGUCAAGUUUGCUUCAUCAUAUUCCUAAAUACCAUGGCUUGUCCAUGGAAGAUCCUAACAAACAUUUGAAAGAAUUUGAAGUAGUUUGCUCUAGUAUGACUCCCGUUAAUGUUGACGGAAAUAUCUUGAAGAUGAAGGCUUUUCCAUUCUCUUUGAUGGAUAAAGCCAAGGAUUGGUUAUAUGAGUUAGCUCCCGGCACUGUCACUUCUUGGGAGAGUAUGAAGAGAGCGUUCUUGGAGAAGUUCUUUCCAACUUCUCGCAUCAUCCUCCUACGCAAAAAGAUAAGCGGAAUUCAGCAAGAAGAAGGUGAGUCUUUUCCUACAUAUUAUGAACGAUUUAAAUCACUUGUUGCUUCUUGUCCACAGCAUCAGAUGAAGGAGGAGUUGCUUUUGCAAUAUUUCUACGAGGGCCUCCUACCUCUAGAACGUCAAAUGCUUGAUGCUUCGGCGGGGGGAGCAUUGGUGGAUAAAACACCCAUGGCUGCCAAGGUCUUGAUUGCUAAUAGAGCGUUGAACGCUCAACAGUACGAGGGUGUAGGCCAAAGAGGACCCUCACGGCACCAAGUACAUGAGGUAAGUACAACUUCCGAUCUUCAUUCACAAUUGGCUAAUCUUACUUCUCUUGUGUCUCAGAUGGCCGAGGGAAUGAAGAUGCAAGGACCAAUUGUAUGUGGCGUAUGUUCCAUCCAAGGACAUGUCUCUGAAAAAUGUCCACAGUUGAUUGAAAAUGGUGGAUGGGAAAGCGCCCAUGCAAUUGGGUUUCAAGGGCAAAACCAACCAAGGAACGAUCCAUAUUCAAACACAUAUAAUCCCGGUUGGAGAGACCACCCAAAUUUCAAGUGGAGGGAUUCCCAACAACCUCAAAACCAAGGAGGCUUUUAGGCAACAACCCCCGGGGUUCUUUCCCAAAACCUACGGCCCACCCCAAAAUCAAGCCCAAUCCGGCCCAAGUGCCUUCAGGUACGUCUCUUGACAAUGAUGCACUUCUUAAGAUACUAACUAAGUUGUCUAAUGGGCAGGAAGAUCAAGCUAGAGCUAUGCAAAACCAAGACAAAAGGGUGGAUCAACUUGAGAAACAAAUUGGGCAGAUUGCCGAGUUUGUAGGUAAGUUUCGAGAUCCCGGACAACUCCCUAGUUCCACCAUUCCAAAUCCGAAGGGAGGUUUCGAAAGUGCAAAAGCAAUCAUGCUAAGAAGUGGAAAAGAGAUUGGGGCAGGUUCUACACAAAAAACAGGUCCCCAAAGGAUGUAAAUGUUGCAAAUUGAAGAGGAGGAAUCAAGCAUGCCCACGGCAAAGGUGGUUCCAUCCUUUGCCGCAAGCUUCCUAAUGUCCCCCAAUCUGUCCCAAAUCGGCCAAUAAAGGUAAGAAUGUGUCAAAUUCGGUUCCUACUAAUGUUUUCCUUUGAAUGUCCCCUUUUCCUAGCAGAUUUUUGCAAUCAAAGAAGAAAGAAGAGGAGGAAAAAGAUGUUCCUAGAGAACAUUUAGGAAAGGUGCAAGUCAACAUUCCCCUCCUUGAGAUGCCAAUCAAGCAAGUAAAUCCCGAAGUAUGCCAAGUUUUAAAGAAGCUUGUGUACCACCAAGAAAGGUGUCCGGGAUAAAGGAAGUGGUACAAGGUAAGGUGAGAAUGUGUCCGCCAUCUUGCAACGCAAAUACUACCCCCCAAAUGCAAAGAUCCGGGGUAGUUUUACAAUUCCUUGUGUCAUUGGUAAUACCCGAUUUGCAAAUCUGCCAUGCUAGAUUUAGGUGCAUUCUAUUAAUGUUAUGCCAUAUUCUGUUUAUGCAUCUAUGAAUCUAGGAGCACUUAAAAAUGAUGGUGUAAUCAUACAAUUGGCCGAUAGAUCUAACGCCUAUCCAAAGGGAGUUUUGGAAGACGUCUUGUGCAGGUUAUCUUUAGUCUUCCCGCGGAUUUCUAAAAUGGAUGAAUCGGAGCGAAGAUGUAAGUAGGGGAUCUUCUAGACACACAAAUUAAACCCUCUUUUUGUCAAAUUGUAGCAAAGAUGUAAGUAGGGAUCGUUCUAGAACCGGGGAUUAGGAGGGAUUGCUAAACACUUGGAAAACUGACUUAAAAACUCAAAAACAAAGUUUAAAAACACUAAACUAGACUCAAAGAAUGCAAAACUAAAAGGUUAAAACACUUAAACAAACCUAAAACUCUCAAAACAGCAACUAAAGGCUCAAAACUGCCUUAAAAACCACUUUCUGGGCAGUUUUGAGCACCUACACUAAUUUGGACGAAAAUUUGGAUGAAAACUUGAAUCAAAACACUUAGAAACACACAAAUCAAAACACUUUCUAACUAAUCUAAGACUUCAAAAUAAAGGGGGGAUUUGUUUUGGACGAAAAUUGAAAAACAAAACAGAAACUUUAAAACUAAAACAGAUUGUAAAACGAUUUUUGGUGAAAUAGGAUGGAUAAAAAGGCUAGUUAGGAGGUUCUUCUCCACACAUGUCACACUUGCAAACAAAACGAUUUUCAGUUGUUCUUCCAAUAAAUUAUGAAUACUCAACGCCCCAAGUUAACCGUGAAUUGCACUAAUUAACCCUCAGUUUUUCCACAAGUUUAUUAAAGUUGGAUGAUUGCAUACGACAACCCAAAACAUUCCCUACAAGUUCCCUACAUGAAUUGCAUAAUAGAGAUACAAGCAAGAAUCAUUACGUUCUAUGAAAAACAUAAGCAUUGACGAAGCAUUUGUUACUAUGAAUUGCAUGAAACUUAUGCUAAGAAUUCAUUCAACGCGAUCGUUUUCAAGCGAUCCUUCACUACUUGUGAUUAUAAGAUUGUAACUAUUAGGUGAAACUCCCUCAUAAUCUAGCAUCAUAUUCAUGCAUGAAAACUAAGCGUGCACUCUCAAUCAACAUACACAAAUAAGUUAUCAAUCAAAUAGAUGAACGAAUUGAAUCCACAACUUAUGAAAUAACAACUGAAUGUAAUCAAAUCAUAUUGCAAGCAUGUACAUGGUUUCGAAUCACCCCCCCAACUAAGGGGGUUUAGUUCCUCAUACUCACAACACAAAAGUUUAUUGAAUUGAAACAUCGAAGACAUAAGAAAGAUUACACCUAAAACGCCAAAGAAGUCCACUUUGAAUUCUGCACAGAAAGCUCCUCUUUCUUCUUCUCCUUGCUGCGGCAGAGUUGGUUUAGGGUUUUGGGAUGGUUUUUGGAUGGUUAGGAAGGGAAUUAGGAUGGUAGGGGGUGCGGCAAGGUGUGUGGGUGGUGUAUGGAGGUGUAUAAUGGUGGCUGGAAUGAAGGAGAGUUUGCGGCAAGGUGUUGGAUGUGGCUGGAAUGAAUGGUGGCUGCGGCAAGGUGGGGGAAGGGAUUUUUUGCGAUUUCUGAUUUGUAGAAUGGGGAUCUGUGCGGCUAGGGUGUAGAAAUUAUAUAUAUAGGCACUUAAAACCCUAGCAAUUCAGAUUAGAAACAAUGGGCUAGGGUUAAGGUUUGUAAAAUAGGGCUUUUUGGAUGGAAAGGUGCGGCAUAGGCUUAGGGAUUUCCAAUCAGAUUUUUGCAUGUGAACAAGGCCUAGGUGCGGCUGAAACAAUGGGCUAGGGUUAGGGUUUAGGUACGGCAUAGGUCCAAGAAGUUAAGGAUGGGUCAUCCAAAAGCCCAAAACCAAGAAUAGAAACUCUCGAAAAUGGAAACCUCCAAGAAUAGAAACUUCCAACUUUAGAAACUUUGGUUGCCAAUUCCGAUUUAGGAAAGAUCAACCCAAAAUGGAAACUUUUAGGCUUAGCUUUUCCUACUUCAAGUAGGAAACCUCAAAUCUUCAACUCUUCAAUUUCAUCCCAACCUUGCGUUCCAAGCAUGUCCUUUUCAAUUCAAGCUCACUUUUGCUCCAAAAGCUCCAAAUUGCAUCAUUUCAUGUAAUACGUCCGCUAAACCUGAAAACACAUGAAAGUAGCUUAAAAGACUACUUUAACUAAGAAAACAUAACAAAAUGCAUAAGAACUAGCUAACUAAGGCGCAUAAAUAUGCUCCUAUCAAAUUCCCCCACACUUAGCUUUUGCUAGUCCUCGAGCAAAACAAACAAAAGAAAGAAACAAAACGAAACAAACAACCAAAACAAAACCUAAACCUUCCAACGUUUGCCUCAGGGAUUUCCAAUGCACAUGACAUGUUAAAGAAUUGUUAUCCCACAGAUUUGAGUCAUCUUUACACUUAAGCACAUACUUAAUUAAAGUCACCACUUACUAGUUCACAAGUUAACCAAUUAAAACAAUGCUUUUGAAUGUAGUAACAUGCCUUAGAGAAUUCCCUCAAUUCCUUACAAGAUAUACACUCUAAUUUUCACUCAGAUUUUCUAACUACACACCCUACACUAGUUAUAUGUGAGAAGAUUGAUGUAGAUAUGAAAACGAAUGCUCACAUAUAUGUAUCAACAAAGAAAGCAAUUUCUAGAGUUAAGAAGCAUGUUUAGAUAUGAUCUCAUGAAUGGAAUGCUACUACUUAGAUGCGAGAACCAGUGACACCAUAUGCUCAUACCAAAUUCAAACUCCACAAAUUGAAACACAUAACACUCAAGAUAGAAGUUAAGGGUUGUAACGGGGCUUGGGGUGUUUGGUUAACAAGGAAAGGAUAAGGGAAAACAAACGUUCUUCAAGCAAUAGUAAGCAAAGCAAUGAAAUUGAGACUUAGAAUUCACUUAGAUUGCAGAAAAUUAACUUUAAAAACACAAGGGGAAGAUUUUAAACAACUCCUUAGGGCCGAAUUCAUUGUUUUUGGACCCUUACUUCAACAAACAAUACUUUGGAACUCUUUUUCUCAACUUUUUUUCAACUUUUUUUUUUUCUUUUUCUUUUUCACAAUUUUUUUUUUCUUUUUCUUUUCUUUUGCCGUGCCUAUGGCAACACAAUUCCUCAUGAAAAACACUUCCCCCACACUUGUUUUCUGCCAACAUAUAAAUCAAAAGGAAUUCAAUUUGAAUCAUGCUUUACUAUGCUUUAAGAACAAGGGUAUGGAUGGUCCUAAUCUAGGCUAGGUGAGGAUAAUGUGGUUAACAAAAACGAUAGGCUAAACAAGGCUCAACGGGGUUAAAACCUACAAAAACAUAAUGACAUAGGGGAUUCAUGGCUUUUUGGCUAAGGUGGUGGUCACUACACAACUUCAUCUUGAAUAUGUGUUAUGCAAAUCAAUAACAUGCUUUGAAUGAAAUGGGCAUGAGUUCUAGCAUUUGGAACUAAAUGAUGAAACGCCUUCUAAGUAGCAACC
Molecule: long non-coding RNA, 23417 nt
Filed under: Malus domestica (apple)
Lineage: Eukaryota; Viridiplantae; Streptophyta; Magnoliopsida; Rosales; Rosaceae
Description: long non-coding RNA (MDOM_LNC019567)
Source: RNAcentral